UCUCGCCAACUUGGAACGUCAAGUUGAACUGGCACGAGAGAGUAGUGCUUUGGGUGCUUCGCCAGGGAAUCAUACCACGGCAUGCUGCAAUCGCGCCUGACGGUAACCGGCGCUUCGCCAAGAAAAAUGGACUCAACCUGAGCCAAGUUUACGCUAUCUUGCUUCAAAACAUUGCACGGAGACAUCUUCAGUCGGCAAAACUUCAAAGUCAGCACAGCAGGAAAUCUUGACCUGGUAUGCAAGGAUUUGCGACAAAAUAUGGCACGAAUUGAGACCAACACCAUUGCCGAAAACAGAACAAAGAAGCUGAGAUUAGGCAUAGCUUACAGCAGUAAGUUCGACCUGAAGAAUAUGGUGAGUGAUUUCGCCAAUGCCGUCAAAGCAGAUGUCAUUGAAUCAGAGUAAGUGUACGCACAAGCCUUUUUCAUAUGUUUUUCCACAGCACGCUUUGUCAUCCGUACAUCAUUCCACCGGCCCACGUAUUUCACCGCACUUAUCAUUCACUUCAAGUUGCCCAGCCAUGAAUUAAGACGACCAUAUUUUCUAUGUCCUGCUUUGUACGGACAGUAGAAUACUGGAAUGACAUUCCUCGUGAUUUUGUCAUCGCUGAGUGCCCAACAUCGUUUUUUGAUCAAUUAUGUGCCCAUAUUUCAAGAUUUAUUAUUUUUUAAAUUUGAACACACUGCAGGCUUUUCACGGCCAAUGCAGUAGUGGAGAG
Molecule: long non-coding RNA, 718 nt
Organism: Rhipicephalus microplus (southern cattle tick)
Lineage: Eukaryota; Metazoa; Arthropoda; Arachnida; Ixodida; Ixodidae
Source: RefSeq, a predicted model, not a curated record